GGCAGGUUGAAGGUUGAGUAACAUCAACUGGAGGACCGAACCCACUAACGUUGCAAAGUUAGGGGAUGACCUGUGGCUGGGGGUGAAAGGCCAAUCAAACUCGGAGAUAGCUGGUUCUCCCCGAAAGCUAUUUAGGUAGCGCCUCGGACGAAUACUACUGGGGGUAGAGCACUGUUUGGGCUAGGGGGUCAUCCCGACUUACCAACCCCAUGCAAACUCCGAAUACCAGUAAGUAAUAUCCGGGAGACACACGGCGGGUGCUAACGUCCGUCGUGAAGAGGGAAACAACCCAGACCGCCGGCUAAGGUCCCAAAGUUCUGGUUAAGUGGGAAACGAUGUGGGAAGGCUCAGACAGCUAGGAUGUUGGCUUAGAAGCAGCCAUCAUUUAAAGAAAGCGUAAUAGCUCACUAGUCGAGUCGGCCUGCGCGGAAGAUGUAACGGGGCUCAAACCAGGCACCGAAGCCGCGGAUUCACGCUAAGCGUGAGUGGUAGGGGAGCGU
RNAcentral lists this ribosomal RNA (500 nucleotides) under Aeromonas hydrophila subsp. hydrophila. RNAcentral describes it as "partial 23S ribosomal RNA". It matches the Rfam family "Bacterial large subunit ribosomal RNA", at positions 739 to 1239 of the family's 2925-position model. Lineage: Bacteria; Pseudomonadati; Pseudomonadota; Gammaproteobacteria; Aeromonadales; Aeromonadaceae. The record is from RNAcentral.